UCCCCGAUAGCUCAGUUGGUAGAGCGCCGGACUGUUAAUCCGUAGGUCCCUGGUUCGAGCCCAGGUCGGGGACCCA
Molecule: transfer RNA, 76 nt
Filed under: Ideonella sp.
Lineage: Bacteria; Pseudomonadati; Pseudomonadota; Betaproteobacteria; Burkholderiales; Sphaerotilaceae
Description: tRNA-Asn
Rfam family: tRNA
About the family: Transfer RNA (tRNA) molecules are approximately 80 nucleotides in length. Their secondary structure includes four short double-helical elements and three loops (D, anti-codon, and T loops). Further hydrogen bonds mediate the characteristic L-shaped molecular structure. tRNAs have two regions of fundamental functional importance: the anti-codon, which is responsible for specific mRNA codon recognition, and the 3' end, to which the tRNAs corresponding amino acid is attached (by aminoacyl-tRNA synthetases). tRNAs cope with the degeneracy of the genetic code in two manners: having more than one tRNA (with a specific anti-codon) for a particular amino acid; and 'wobble' base-pairing, i.e. permitting non-standard base-pairing at the 3rd anti-codon position.
Source: RNAcentral